This 379-nucleotide ribosomal RNA is filed under the name uncultured bacterium. RNAcentral describes it as "bacterial SSU rRNA". It matches the Rfam family "Bacterial small subunit ribosomal RNA", at positions 30 to 408 of the family's 1533-position model. The record is from RNAcentral.
AUUGAACGCUGGCGGCAUGCCUUACACAUGCAAGUCGAACGGCAGCACGGGAGCAAUCCUGGUGGCGAGUGGCGAACGGGUGAGUAAUAUAUCGGAACGUGCCCAGUCGUGGGGGAUAACGUAGCGAAAGCUACGCUAAUACCGCAUACGAUCUAUGGAUGAAAGCGGGGGGAUCGCAAGACCUCGCGCGAUUGGAGCGGCCGAUAUCAGAUUAGGUAGUUGGUGAGGUAAAGGCUCACCAAGCCGACGAUCUGUAGCUGGUCUGAGAGGACGACCAGCCACACUGGGACUGAGACACGGCCCAGACUCCUACGGGAGGCAGCAGUGGGGAAUUUUGGACAAUGGGCGCAAGCCUGAUCCAGCAAUGCCGCGUGCAGGA